GGUUUUAUGGUGUAACGGUUAGCACUCCAGACUCUGAAUCUGGCGAUCUGGGUUCAAAUCCCGUUAAAACCU
Non-coding RNA from Perkinsus marinus ATCC 50983, 72 nucleotides. NCBI's taxonomy places the organism in Eukaryota, Perkinsozoa, Perkinsida, Perkinsidae. The record is from Rfam.